GAUGAACGCUGGCGGCGUGCCUAAUACAUGCAAGUCGAGCGAACAGAUGAGGAGCUUGCUCCUCUGACGUUAGCGGCGGACGGGUGAGUAACACGUGGAUAACCUACCUAUAAGACUGGGAUAACUUCGGGAAACCGGAGCUAAUACCGGACAAUAUAUUGAACCGCAUGGUUCAAUAGUGAAAGACGGUUUUGCUGUCACUUAUAGAUGGAUCCGCGCCGCAUUAGCUAGUUGGUAAGGUAACGGCUUACCAAGGCAACGAUGCGUAGCCGACCUGAGAGGGUGAUCAGCCACACUGGAAGUGAGACACGGUCCAGACUCCUACGGGAGGCAGCAGUAGGGACUCUUCCGCAAUGGGCGAAAGCCUGACGGAGCAACGCCGCGUGAAUGAUGAAGGUCUUCGGAUCGUAAGACUCUGUUAUUAGGGAAGAACAAAUGUGUAAGUAACUAUGCACGUCUUGACGGUACCUAAUCAGAAAGCCACGGCUAACUACGUG
RNAcentral lists this ribosomal RNA (497 nucleotides) under uncultured bacterium. Its description in RNAcentral is "partial 16S ribosomal RNA". It matches the Rfam family "Bacterial small subunit ribosomal RNA", at positions 28 to 507 of the family's 1533-position model. The record is from RNAcentral.